CGGCGCAGCGCCUCAGCUCCGCCCAUACUCGCUCCGCCCUGGUGGGCUCCAGCCUUUCCCUUUCCCUGGGGCUCAGCCUCCCAAUCAGUCAAAUGGGCAGAUUAACACCCAUGGCCUUGACUCCGUCAGAGACUGGGGGAAGAAAUCGUGAGUCAGGGCAGCGAGGUCUGCGGGGAGCGUUGUGAAGGUGUGAAGUGCUGAGCUCCCAGGUCCCUGGCUGCCACCAUGGGCUCGGAGCCGCGUGGUGAGUUCGCUUUCAUUCCUUAAAAACAGGCAGCCGCUAAGUGGAGAAACUGGGACACCCUUUGCAUCUUCUCAAUCUUAGUUCAGUGCUGUUUCCAAUAAACCACGGCUAUCCUUUAUCAGGGAUAAAGUCCUUUGGAUCAUCCAACUUCAGCUUGGACAGAGUUUCCUGAUAAAUAACAACAACAAUCAUAGUUGCCUGUGUUUCCCAGAAAACAAAGAUGAGGCAAAAGCUUAUGUGCUUUAGCACAUAAAGUGCAUUGUUGGAAGAGUGCAUUCCCAGGCUGCAGGAGUGAGGAAAAAGGAGAAGGAGGCAGAAAAGGAUGAAAAGAAAAUACAAGGAAGCUUCUAUCAAGCUGGGCACAGACUGGGGACAGCCUCACUGCACGGUCUUGCAGAACGUUCUCAGAGAUGGGACAGGAGCUGCUGUAGGUUCAGUCUACCUGGGAAAGAGGGAGAGGGAUUUGCUCACCAAAUCCCAUGUCCCAUUCGUCAAUGUCUGCCCCACGAGGUAUUAAUUUCCAGCACUCCCGGAGCUGCCUGAAUGUGGGCCCCCAAGGGUCCCUUGGAGUUGAGAUCUCAAAGUUGAUGUGAUGGGUAUGAUGGAUGUGAAAGAUGGAGCAGCAGCAGCCGGUUUGCAGCCUUGAGGGAAAGGCCAAGAGGCUUGUGGAAGUCUCGGUGAUGCCAUCUCCAAGAUGCUGAACCACGACCAGCAAUUUCCUACCCCAGAUUUCUCAAGAUUUGAGGAAAACAGUUAUGUAAUUAAGUUUCUAUAGCUACGCUUUCUGUUCCUGGAAGCUGAAAGCAUUCCUGAUUAAUGUGGUUAGUUUUCUGUUCAACUAGCAAACAGUACAGUGGUAAUGACAGAGUCCUAGACUAUCUGGGCUGAAAGGAACCUCAAACAGAGGUCAACCAGUGACCUGUCCUUUCAUUUCACAGGGACGAAAAGGGACAGGAAAGGGGUCCUUUCUGGGGUGCUUGUCCAGGGUGCUUCAGGGAGAGAGGGGUGGAACCAGGACUGUUUUCUGCAUUUCUCAGCAGCUCACGGUUGCUUUCACCACACCUCACUGAUGUGUGCUAUCUUCCAGGCAAUAAUGACAAGAGCCACCAUUUACUUAUUAGGCCAGGUGCAGAUUAAGUACUUUGCCUAUAUCAAUUCAUUACAUUCUCACCAAACUCCUCCAAGGGAGACAGUCUUGUUAUCAUUUGCAUUUAUGAGGAUGAAGCCAAGCACAGAGAGAUCAAGUAACUUGUCCAAGUAUCCAAAUCCAGACAUUGUAGUGAUGAUGACUCCAACCUCAGGAGUCUGGAGCCUGAGCUCCCACAUGGAACCACUAGGCUGUACUGCCUGGGUGGGGUUUCAGAAAUGCUGGUAUAAGAUUCCAGGCUGGUAGGAGCUUCUUAGGGUGAGACGAGUAGGGGCAAAUCAGCAGGGCCACCUCUCUGGUAAAGUCCUUGGGGCACUGCUUCCGGGAAACACAAUGUCAGUGGUGCCACUGGGCUGUCCAAUGUGGUGGCCCCAGGGUUUUGUCCCUGCAAGUGUCACACUGUGAGUUCCUCAGGAACUAGAUGACAACAUAAACAAAUGAAGCCAGGUGACUAUAGUGAGGGGUGUGGAAUGAGGCCAAUUGGGG
RNAcentral lists this long non-coding RNA (1877 nucleotides) under Homo sapiens (human). RNAcentral's name for it is "non-protein coding lnc-ARFGEF2-4:1". The record is from RNAcentral. Lineage: Eukaryota; Metazoa; Chordata; Mammalia; Primates; Hominidae.